CUCUCUCUCUCUCUCUCUCUCUCUCUCUCAAAUAAAUAAAUAAAUAAAAUCUUUUUUAAAAAUCAUACACUACAUACAUGUGCACAUGCAUGUACACAAACAUAUACCACAUACAUUCUACAUCAGUAUUUAAAUAAAUAUGGAAACAUCUGGAAGACUAUAUACUAUCAUCAAUGGUAAACAUAAGGUAUCGCUAUGGAUGACUCAAAAAUAUUUUUCUCUAUCAUUGAACUUUUUGUAGUAAAUAUGUAUCUUGUCUUGAAUUUCCAAAAAAUAGGGAUUCAUGUGCAAAUACUUUAUUGAAGAAGAGCUGUCAAGAAAGAACUUGGAAGGAAAUGAGAUCAUUCUUUCUCAGAAAGAACUUAGAAGGAAAAAGGAAGCAGAAUAGCAAAGAGGAAGAAACUGAGCCAGAAUGUCAAGCUUCAGCCUCAUCCCAUGGGAAGUUUUGGAGCAACACAGAGUAAGCCCUACCUCCACAUCAGGAAGCCAGCUCUUUGUAUGGACAGAGUCAGCCCUUGGUGAUCAACUACUCCCAGGAGUGUGCAUAAGUAACCUCCUGAGCAAAGGGGUUCCCUUGGGCUUAGGGCACUUCAUUGGAGAGGGGAGCAGUUUUGUCAAGAGAAACCAACAUUCAUGGCAGCUGUGGGGAAAAUGUACCAGACUGAAAAGGAGAUCUGUGUAGGACACCCAGGCUUCUGCAGUCUCUACUUUGCACUGUUUAAAAUUCUUGCAUUAAAUUCACUACAUCCAGGGGAACCUGGGUGGCUCCGUGGUUGAGUGUCUGUCUGCCUUUGGCUCAGAUCAUGAUCCUGAGAUCCUGAGAUUGAGUCCUACAUCGGGCUCCCUCCAGGGAGCCUGCUUCUCCCUCUGCCUAUGUCUCUGCAUCUCUCUCUGUGUCACUCAUGAAUAAAUAAAAUAUAUUUUUUAAAGAUUUAUUUAUUUAUUCAUGAGAGACAGAGAGAGAGAGAGAGAGAGGCAGAGACAUAGGCAGAGAGAGAAGCAGGCUCCACGCAGGGAGCCCAAUGCAGAAAUCGAUCCCAGAUCCUGGGAUCACGACCUGGGCUGAAGACAGAUGCCCAACUGCUGAGUCAACCAGGCGUCCCAAAAAAAGUCUUUAAAAAAAAUUUACUACAUCCAGACACAGGUUCUUUAGAAUUCUUUUUUGGUCUUAAGAACACAUGAGUGGGAAUUACAUCCCUCCAUACCCCCUAAAAUUGAUUCUAAGACCAUAGCUGAGACUCAUCAUCUCUCUCAUCCAUCAUCCUUAUUAGAUCCUCCUCUUCCUCUGACAGUAACUUACUUCUGGUGGUAUAGAUGUCUUGCCUAGUGGUCUGACCUAUUCCCAAGGAGCCUGAUCUCAUGGCUAGCAAAGUUGUUUCCCUUUCUCACAAACUAUCAUGAGAGUACUCGAUGCCCAGUGGGUCAUCUGGCUGACAAACAUACUCCCUCCUUUUCCUCACUAUGUAGCAGCAUCCCUACUUCCCCCAAACAAUCAGGGUCAGUAGCCUGGCCUUUACAGUGACUACCUGUUUUGCCUACUAGCCUGCUGGCAUAAAAAUCCUAAGCGACCAAUAGCAGCCAUAGUUUUAAGUUUAGUGGGACUCUGGUGCCCCUGGGGAAAGUGUGAGACCUACAGAGCCUAAAGUUGCUAGGAGAGAAGCAGACUGUUCUAGUGGGACAUCGAGAAUGACAGUGAAUGAAAUCAUUCCUCCCUCUACCACAUACUUCGGCUCCCUGCUUACUACUUAUCAAAAUCUUUUAAUAUCCAUUAUUUUAAGGUACAUACAGAAAAAUGGUAUUAUCUUCAAGCUGGCAUCUCUGCCACUGCUUCAAGCGACACCUACUUUUACCCACACUUACUUUCCCAUACAGUUGGUCCUUUAGUCUGAGGCAGUAUCAGUCAUUGCUCAGAAGCAUCCCAGGGUGUUAGGGUGGGGAUAACCACCAGAGCAGAGCUUGAGCCAUUAGCACCUAGCACUCCCAGCAGCUGGAAGAUAGAUACAAUGGCCCAGUAAAAUAGAUCUGAGCAAGAAACCAAGAAGUAUAUGACUUCUAUAAUUAGAAAAAUAGCAAAAAAGCUUUAAAAAUAUUUUAUAUUCAGCUAUAUUUUUAGAAUGCUGUACAUCUAAAAUGCUUUAAAGUGUAAAGGUGUUUAUUGUCCUCAUUUAUUAAUUCAUUUAUUUAUAUCAUCAUGGACUUACAGAUAUUUUAUACUUUGGGUGAUAAUUCAAAUAAAUUAUCUCUUUUUCUCAAAUUGUUCUACCUUUGGCCACCAGGAGCUUUUCAGUUGGUUCCUGUGCUUCUUUGGAAUACCACCAUACAUGUGGGUGCUUACUUCAGUUUUUUUCAGUGAGCAUAUGUAUUUUUAUUGAGAUAUGAUUCAUAUAACAAACAAAAUUUACCAUUUUGAAGUGUACACUUGUGUAGUUUUUAGUAUAUUCACUCUAUUGUGCAACUAUCAUUUCUAAUUCCAAAACAUUCCAUUACCUCCAAAAUAAAUUCUAUAACUAUUGACAAGCCAAUAUUCUCCCUUCCCCCAGGUCCCGGCAACCAGUAAUCUAUGGAUUUGCCAAUUCUGGCCAUUUUAUAUAAAUGGAAGCAAACACAAAGUGGCCUUUUGUAUCUAACUUCCUUUACUUAGCAUUAUGUUUUCCAGGUUCACCCAUAGUGCACCAUGUAUCAGGACUUCAUUCCUUUUUAUGGCUCAGUAAUAUUCUAUUGUAUGAUGUAUCAUAUUUUGUUUACCCACUCAGCCUCCAGUGGACAUUUAUGUUAUCUCUACUUUUGAGCUAAUAUGAAAAACACUGCUAUGAACAUUUUUGUGCAGGUUUUUGUUUGUGCAUUUCUUUUCAACUCUCUUGGGUGUAUACCUAGGAGAGGAACUUCUUGGCCACCUAGUAUUUCUAUGUUUAAUUUUUGAGGAACUAGAAUAUAAAUUUAAGUCCAUGAAACAUCAUUAUUCAGCACUAUUUUCUCACUGUCAUGUAUCAUUUAUAACUUUCUUGCCAAAGAGAAUUUGAGAUGGUUCAGAUUAGAAAUGUAAAAUACACAUCUUUAAAUGUUUAUUUAUUUAUUUGAGAGACACAGAGAGAUAGCAGGAAAUAGCAGAAGUAGGGAAGAGAGGGAGAAGAAACAGGCUCCACGCUGAGCAGGGAGCCUGACAUGGGGCCUGAUCCCAAGACUCUAGGAUCAUGACCUGAGCCAAAGGUAGACACUUAACCAACUGAGCCACCCAGAUGCCUCUCAAUAUUAUAGUCAUUUUAAAAAUUAUUGUAGUAAAAAUAUCACAAGAUAUGUAAUAUAUGCAUAAGUCUUUCUUACUCUUUUGGGGCUAUGGGUCCUUUUGAGACUCAAAUGGAAGCCAUGGAGCUAGCUUAAGGGAAUCUGAUAUUCAAGAUUGGGAGGCCCUUAUAUCUUGAACAUGGGAUAAGAUGGAUUCAGUAAAUGAGUAUUACAUUUGAUUUGGAAGUUUCCAGGAGCUAGAGAGCUCCUCCCACAAUAGAAAGGAGAUCCCACCUAGUGUCCCUAGCUCCUUGUUUCACAGCUGUCACCCAACUAUAACUUUACCCUACAAUUUAGCAGAGCAGAAAGCAGAAAUACAACUGCAUAAUUUAAAACUGAUCUUAGGAAAUCUCUACUCUUAAAAGUUCAUGGGCACAAACCAGUCUCAGAAACCUAAGAUUAACUGGCCCAGUUCCCUGCCUGGAGUCUGCCUGCCUCCAUGCUGCAAAGAUUAGCUUACUCACACCAUCUGGAAUGUUCCCUGCCACAUCCCAGUUUAGAGUCUAUGUGGACCUGCUCACCAGUCCCAGAGAGGAGGAGGUUCUUCCUUUCCAUGGUACCUAACCUAAAUUAUUUCCUAUUACUGAAUUGACCUCUUCUCAGAACUGACAAUUCUUUCAGGGUAUAUUCUGGCACAAUGAUCCAGACAAGACAAUCUCAACUGUCAACAAUUUCUUUUCCCAUCAGACUUACUUAGUUUUAAAUUCCAUUGCAUUGAAACACUGACAUCCAGUCAUUUGUUGACCCUGGUUGGCACCAGUCAAUAAAAGCCACUUAUGCACAUCAAUGUCCAAUUCUACAUUCAGUGACAUCAUGUUGUUUAGUUUUAAAUGGACCAUUGCAGAAGUAGUUACACCAUGGGAAUUGGCAAACAUUACACAUCAGGGCUUUUUCCCCCCAAAGAGCCAACUGUUAAAUCCUUACCAGCAUACCACGACUGACACCCUAAUCCUACACACCAAAUCUUACCCAGUUAUUCCUUUUACGCAAUGCUCCAUCUAGCACCGUGCCUAAAUAUUUCACAAACACAUACUUCAGGACUGUCUCCAUUUCACAGAUAAGAAAAGAGAUUUAGAAACACUAAGCGUCCAAAGUUACACAGCUAGUAAGUAGCAUAUGUGAAACUCAAACUUAGGUCUUUUUGAGCUCCAAAUCUACAUAUAUGUGUGCAUGAUUUAUACAGUAAUGUUCUUAAAACCACUCACUAGUAUGGUAUGAAAAACAUUACAUAUAUCUAUAUAAACUUGUGCAUUUGCGUCCUAUACCUAGGCUGAAACACAACAAAAAAAAUAAGUUAGAAAAGAAUAUUUCUUUGAUGGUAGUUGCUAGAACAAGGCAGCUCUACUGAUCUUGCAAAUUAAUUUGGGAAAAAUUUUUUAUCGUAAAUCCCUUUUUGCAUGCUAUCCCUCAUCACCUGAGGGAUUUAAAGACUAAUCUGAAAUUAUCUCAUUUCAUAUGAAUUUCUUCUUAUUCCCUCCUCCUCGAUUUAUAGCUCCCCUUUAUACCACUGUUUUAGGCUCUUUUAUUCAAGGAUCAUUUUCAGUGUUGAUUUGUGUCUUUUUCACUAUACUGUGAGCACCCAGGUGAUACUCAUCCUGUUCCCUUUCAGUUCCUAGAACAGCACUGUGCAUAGUCACGUCUCAAUAGAUAGUUGCUGAAAUGAAAUGAAUUCAUCUCAAAAUGACCCCAAAGAGCUGAUAUUUGUUUUCAUUUGUUUUAUGACCAUCCCUUUCACCUUGUCACAAUGACAACCUAUUGCUUCCAUAUUCAAUACUCACCUUUUUUUCUAAAGUCAUAACACCCUGUAAGUUUUAGCAUCAAAUCACAUAUAGGGCAGAAAUGCUAUUCAAGACACUGGGCACUCUGUCUACUUGCUAUAACAUGUAGCACAACCCAAGAGUUUCUGUCAAGUAUUACUUUACUAUUUCCCUGAAGAGAGUUACACAGUUUAUACUUCCUCUAAACAAUUGCACAGAAGUGUCCCACACUCAGGAGAAUUUGUAUUAUGGAAAUAUUUUAUCUCCUCUGUCUAAAAUUAUAUAUUGCUAACAUGUGAGUCUAUAAAUCAUAGAAGGUCAGAAAGAAGCAUUAUUAAUAUAUGUUUUAGUAUAUUCUAAGUCUUAGCAGUUGAGUCAAAGAAACUGUAUUUGCCAAUAACCUUAGCCAUCAAUGUUCUUGUCUCUAAAGAUCCCUGAAGCAUCAAUCAUUAUAUUCCACCACUGGACCUUCUUACCUCCAAAUAUAUUGUGUGUUGCCAUAUUUUGUUUUCAGGCCCCCUAGGAUUGGAGGGUAUAAGGUUCUCUACAAAAGUACUCAGUAUAUCAUUAAUCUGAAUGUCUUGAUACUUGUCAUAAGGAACAAAAUUGUUUUCUUUUCAAUUUCAGCCGGUUAAUCUUACCUAGAAGCCUUUGUACCAACCUACAUCAUUUUUCUCCCAUCUCAACCUUCAAAGGGACUUCUGUUGUUGUUAGACUUUUAUACUUUGUAGCCCUUACUCAUAAAUCAUCUACUUAGGCCCAUAAUCAUUUAAUUUUCCUCUUCAGUUAACUCUCUCUAGGUAGUAUAAAUCAGAUUAUUACAUUAUGUAUUUG
Molecule: long non-coding RNA, 5873 nt
Filed under: Canis lupus familiaris (dog)
Lineage: Eukaryota; Metazoa; Chordata; Mammalia; Carnivora; Canidae
Description: lncRNA (ENSCAFG00845005591.1)
Source: RNAcentral